Molecule: long non-coding RNA, 974 nt
Organism: Pogoniulus pusillus (Red-fronted tinkerbird)
Lineage: Eukaryota; Metazoa; Chordata; Aves; Piciformes; Lybiidae
Exons: 2
Source: RefSeq, a predicted model, not a curated record
UACUGUGAAGGGUAAGCACCUAUCAGCAGCUGAGCCUCCUGAACACUCCACUGCAACAGAAGAAAUGACCUUACUGGCUGGAUCUUUAGAUGUCUGACCACCUCUAAAGGCCAAGGUGAGCAAUUCCAGAGGGGAAGGAAGUCAGACAUUCAGGAGAUGAAGAGCUGUUGAAUUCUUCUCUUGAAUACUUCUGUCUGCUUUUCUAACACAAACCCAGACUUAACAGAUGGGUCUUGAGGUCUGUUUCAUGACCUCCCAUGCUGUCAUUGAGAUCAGAAAUCCCCGCUGCAAUUACUGGUAAAUUCCUCUGUCCUCAUCUGUUACAAACGUUGACUCCCUGGGGAGAACAUGGUACCCGAGAAUCUGACUAAGGCAGACGUCGUGGCAUUCAGCUAAGAGGAUGGAUCUAAAGUGUUAUUCUUUUGGGCUGGAUGUUUUGGGGUUUUUUUGUCUUUUAUGGGUCUCCUUCCCAGCUUUAAGCAAUUAGCAUAGUAGCAAUAUGCUUAGUAACAAUAUGCUUAAAGGCUAGCAUUAUACUGUAUGGAAAAAGGCCAAUUACAAGGUUAAAAAGAAAAAAGAAGGGCAGGGGGUUGAGGUAGAUCUACUUGGAUAUGAACCUAUCAAAAAAUUGUACAAAAUGCAGAAUGCUGCAAGCCCCAGGAAGAGUGAGGCGGCAGCUCCUGAUGUAACACUGAGUGGCUCUGCCUCUGCUUUUGCAAUUGCAGCCUGCCUUACAUUAUUCCUCCUCACCCUGACUACGUUUCCCUGUAUUUCUCCGAUUUUCUGAAGAAGCAGUUGUUGUGCACUGUGGAGAAGGUUGAAUGCUUAACUGAAAUAAUGGAAAAUUAGUUUUUAAGGAGAGUAAAUAAGACAGAAUAGGACCUGUAAGGAUAACAAGCUGGCAAUAAUUCAGUGUAGAUUUCCUGUUCUUCUCCUGUUUAUUAAAUAUUCUUAUUGACUUCUGCUUCUCAGUA